AUGAUUCCCUGCUCCACCAAUACAUCCAGUGUAUAUAAAGAUAAUCCAUUCAUAAGCCUUUUAGUGGGCUACCCUGUCCUCAGUGGUCCUCAGAGAGACACCACACCAGGGACAACCCUGUCCUCAGUGGUCCUCAGAGAGACACCACACCAGGGACAACCCUGUCCUCAGAGAGACACCACACCAGGACAACCCUGUCCUCAGAGAGACACCCCACCAGGGACAACCCUGUCCUCAGAGAGACACCCCACCAGGACAACCCUGUCCUCAGAGAGACACCCCACCAGGGACAACCCUGUCCUCAGUGGUCCUCAGAGAGACACCCCACCAGGACAACCCUGUCCUCAGAGAGACACCCCACCAGGGACAACCCUGUCCUCAGAGAGACACCCCUCCAGGGACAACCCUGUCCUCAGAGAGACACCCCACCAGGGACAACUCGUCCUCAGUGGUCCUCAGAGAGACACCACACCAGGACAACCCUGUCCUCAGAGAGACACCACACCAGGGACAACCCUGUCCUCAGAGAGACACCCCACCAGGGACAACCCUGUCCUCAGUGGUCCUCAGAGAGACACCACACCAGGACAACCCUGUCCUCAGAUAGACACCACACCAGGGACAACCCUGUCCUCAGUGGUCCUCAGAGAGACACCACACCAGGACAAUCCUGUCCUCAGAGAGACACCACACCAGGGACAACCCUGUCCUCAGUGGUCCUCAGAGAGACACCACACCAGGGACAACCCUGUCCUCAGAGAGACACCACACCAGGACAACCCUGUCCUCAGAGAGACACCCCACCAGGGACAACCCUGUCCUCAGAGAGACACCCCACCAGGACAACCCUGUCCUCAGAGAGACACCCCACCAGGGACAACCCUGUCCUCAGUGGUCCUCAGAGAGACACCCCACCAGGACAACCCUGUCCUCAGAGAGACACCCCACCAGGGACAACCCUGUCCUCAGAGAGACACCCCACCAGGGACAACCCUGUCCUCAGAGAGACACCACACCAGGACAACCCUGUCCUCAGAGAGACACCACACCAGGGACAACCCUGUCCCCAGUGGUCCUCAGAGAGACACCACACCAGGGACAACCCUGUCCCCAGUGGUCCUCAGAGAGACACCACACCAGGGACAACCCUGUCCCCACCCACAUUUCCCCACCUGA
Molecule: long non-coding RNA, 1176 nt
Filed under: Gadus morhua (Atlantic cod)
Lineage: Eukaryota; Metazoa; Chordata; Actinopteri; Gadiformes; Gadidae
Description: lncRNA (ENSGMOG00000024970.1)
Source: RNAcentral